UACGGAGGGUGCAAGCGUUAUCCGGAUUCACUGGGUUAAAGGGUAGCGUAGGUGGGCAGGUAAGUCCGUGGUGAAAUCUCUGAGCUUAACUCAGAACUGCCGUGGAUACUAUUGUCUUGAAUAUUGUGGAGGUGAGGCGGAAUAUGUCAUGGUAGCGGAUGAAAUGCUUAGAUAUGACAUAGAACACCAAAUUGCGAAGGCAGCUCACUACACAAUUAUUGACGCUGAGGCACGAAAGCGUGGGGAUCAAACAGG
Molecule: ribosomal RNA, 255 nt
Filed under: uncultured bacterium
Lineage: Bacteria
Description: partial 16S ribosomal RNA
Rfam family: Bacterial small subunit ribosomal RNA
Source: RNAcentral